Molecule: long non-coding RNA, 245 nt
Organism: Tympanuchus pallidicinctus (lesser prairie-chicken)
Lineage: Eukaryota; Metazoa; Chordata; Aves; Galliformes; Phasianidae
Exons: 3
Source: RefSeq, a predicted model, not a curated record
GUUAGGGUUUGGGUUAGGGUUUGGGUUAGGGUUAGGGUUAGGGUUAGGGUUAGGGUUAGGGUUAGGGUUAGGGUUAGGGUUAGGGUUAGGGUUAGGGUUAGGGUUAGGGUUAGGGUCAGGGUUAGGGUCAGGGGUUAGGGUUAGGGUUAGGGUUAGGGUUAGGGUUAGGGUUAGGGUCAGGGUUAGGGUCAGGGUUGGGGUUAGAGAAGUGUUAGGGUUAGGUUUAUGGUUAGGGUUAGGGUUAG